This 377-nucleotide ribosomal RNA is filed under the name uncultured Serratia sp. Its description in RNAcentral is "bacterial SSU rRNA". It matches the Rfam family "Bacterial small subunit ribosomal RNA", at positions 521 to 895 of the family's 1533-position model. The record is from RNAcentral. Lineage: Bacteria; Pseudomonadati; Pseudomonadota; Gammaproteobacteria; Enterobacterales; Yersiniaceae.
UAAUACGGAGGGUGCAAGCGUUAAUCGGAAUUACUGGGCGUAAAGCGCACGCAGGCGGUUUGUUAAGUCAGAUGUGAAACUCCCCGGGCUCAACCUGGGAACUGCAUUUGAAACUGGCAAGCUAGAGUCUCGUAGGAGGGGGGUAGAAUUCCAGGUGUAGCGGUGAAAUGCGUAGAGAUCUGGAGGAAUACCGGUGGCGAAGGCGGCCCCCUGGACGAAGACUGACGCUCAGGUGCGAAAGCGUGGGGAGCAAACAGGAUUAGAUACCCUGGUAGUCCACGCUGUAAACGAUGUCGAUUUGGAGGUUGUGCCCUUGAGGCGUGGCUUCCGGAGCUAACGCGUUAAAUCGACCGCCUGGGGAGUACGGCCGCAAGGUU